GACGAACGCUGGCGGCGUGCUUAACACAUGCAAGUCGAACGGAAAGGCCCUGCUUUUGUGGGGUGCUCGAGUGGCGAACGGGUGAGUAACACGUGAGUAACCUGCCCUUGACCUUGGGAUAACUUCAGGAAACUGGGGCUAAUACCGGAUAGGAGCUCCUGCUGCAUGGUGGGGGUUGGAAAGUUUCGGCGGUUGGGGAUGGACUCGCGGCUUAUCAGCUUGUUGGUGGGGUAGUGGCUUACCAAGGCUUUGACGGGUAGCCGGCCUGAGAGGGUGACCGGCCACAUUGGGACUGAGAUACGGCCCAGACUCCUACGGGAGGCAGCAGUGGGGAAUAUUGCACAAUGGGCGGAAGCCUGAUGCAGCAACGCCGCGUGCGGGAUGACGGCCUUCGGGUUGCAAACCGCUUUCGCCUGUGACGAAGCGUGAGUGACGGUAAUGGGUAAAGAAGCACCGGCUAACUACGUG
This 468-nucleotide ribosomal RNA is filed under the name uncultured bacterium. RNAcentral describes it as "partial 16S ribosomal RNA". It matches the Rfam family "Bacterial small subunit ribosomal RNA", at positions 28 to 507 of the family's 1533-position model. The record is from RNAcentral.